Molecule: ribosomal RNA, 445 nt
Filed under: uncultured bacterium
Lineage: Bacteria
Description: partial 16S ribosomal RNA
Rfam family: Bacterial small subunit ribosomal RNA
Source: RNAcentral
GUGAGGAAUAUUGCGCAAUGGAGGCAACUCUGACGCAGCCAUGCCGCGUGCAGGAAGAAGGCGCUACGCGUUGUAAACUGCUUUUAACCGGGAAGAAACCCCAGGACGUGUCCUGGGUUGACGGUACCGGAGGAAUAAGCACCGGCUAACUUCGUGCCAGCAGCCGCGGUAAUACGAAGGGUGCAAGCGUUAUCCGGAUUCAUUGGGUUUAAAGGGUGCGUAGGCGGAGCGUUAAGUCAGUGGUGAAAUCCUGCAGCUUAACUGUAGACUUGCCAUUGAUACGGGGGCGCUUGAGUGCGCUUGAAGUGGGCGGAAUGUGCCGUGUAGCGGUGAAAUGCUGAGAUAUGGCACAGAACACCAAUUGCGAAGGCAGCUCACUAAGGCGAUACUGACGCUGAGGCACGAAAGCGUGGGGAUCGAACAGGAUUAGAAACCCCAGUAGUCC